This 69-nucleotide ribosomal RNA is filed under the name Anopheles sinensis. RNAcentral describes it as "partial 28S ribosomal RNA". The record is from RNAcentral. Lineage: Eukaryota; Metazoa; Arthropoda; Insecta; Diptera; Culicidae.
GAGUGAGGCCACUCGGUGGUCAAAUAAGCCUCAAGUUAUGUGUGACAACCCCCUGAUUUUAAACCAUAA